Molecule: RNA transcript, 2259 nt
Organism: Medicago truncatula (barrel medic)
Lineage: Eukaryota; Viridiplantae; Streptophyta; Magnoliopsida; Fabales; Fabaceae
Gene name: auxin response factor 17
Exons: 4
Source: RefSeq, a predicted model, not a curated record
CUUUAAAUAGAAAAGAAAAGAGAAAGAAAAACGAAGAAGCCACACUCAUUGUGUCACUCACUCUCUCUGAAAAACAAACACACAACAAACUCCUUCGAUUCCGUUACAUCUUAUGUUCGAAAAACCCUAGUGAGAAACCCUCACUCAUUUUCAUUCAACCAAUCAUGAACCGCCAAGUACUACCACCGUCACCAAAAAACGCAUCCUCACUCAACCCAAAACUCUGGCGAGCUAUCGCCGGCGCCGCCGUGCAAAUCCCUACCGUCAAUUCUAGGGUUUACUACUUCCCUCAAGGUCACAUGGACCAAGCUACUUCACUUCCGAACAAUCUCUCACCUCUUCUUCUCUCUCGUCCCUACAUUCUCUGCUCUGUCUCCGCCGUUCAUUUCCUCGCCGAUCCGAAAACCGACGAGGUUUUCGCUAAGCUUUUCCUUCAACCGUUGAAUGAUUUCACCGUUAAUUUUCCACGGAUUCCGGUGAUUGAAGCUGACGACGGUGAGAGGAUUUCUUCGUUUGCGAAGAUUCUUACUCCGUCUGAUGCGAACAACGGUGGUGGAUUUUCUGUUCCGAGGUUUUGUGCUGAUUCGAUUUUUCCUCCGUUGGAUUAUAGUAUGGAUCCUCCGUUGCAGAAUCUGUUGAUUACUGAUGUUCAUGGUUUGACUUGGGAGUUUCGUCACAUUUACCGUGGAACGCCGCGCCGGCAUUUGUUGACCACCGGUUGGAGUAAGUUUGUGAACGCUAAGAAGCUUGUUGCUGGUGAUUCGGUUGUUUUUAUGAAGAAUACUAGAGGUGCAAUGUUCAUCGGAAUCCGUCGUGCUGUUCGAUUCGUUCCAAAUCGAACUAGUUCCGGUGUUUGCUCCGAUGUGUCGAGAUUGUGUCUUCCGAUCUGUGGAGUGAGAAGUAGGGUGGAUGAUGAAGAGAAGCUGGUGGAAGAGAAGGCAUUUUCGAGGCACGGGAAGGGGAAGUUGUCUCCGGUGGCAGUUGCGGAGGCGGCGGAAAUGGCGGCUCAGGGGAUGGGGUUUGAAGUGGUGUAUUAUCCGAGAGCAGGGUGGUCGGAUUUUGUGUUGAAAGCGGAGGUUGUGGAUGCGGCGAUGAGUGUUACUUGGUGUCCUGGAAUGAGAAUCAAAAUGGCUGUUGAGACUGAUGAUUCUUCCAGGACUACUUGGUUUCAGGGUGUAGUGUCUCAGGUCUCUGUUCCUGAUCAUGGUGCUUGGAGAGGUUCACCUUGGCGUAUGCUUCAUAUUACAUGGGACGAACCUGAAGUGUUGCAAACUUCCAAGUGGGUCAGCCCUUGGCAGGUGGAACUUCUUUCUACUACACCUUCCCUUCAUACCCCCUUUCCCCCAUUGAAAAGGACUAGAGGGGUAUCUGGGGUGUUAACUGAUGGAGAUGGAGACCCCUUUUCUAUCACAGGGUUCACUAAUUCAACAACGGGACAAUUGAAUCAACCAUUGUUGAGUUACAGUACUUUUCCUGCUGGCAUGCAGGGAGCCAGGCAUGAUCUAUUUUCCGUUUCAAGUUUUUCCAACUUUCCAGGUGAUAACUUCCGUCUUUGUAUGGGUAACUCCUUUGGCAGCAACACAGUGCCGGGGUUGAAAUCUUUUUCAACGGAUCUAAACGUUGGCAGUUCUCAAUCUGGUGAUUUUUCACCAGAGAGCCAGAGUAGUUUGCCUUCCUUUGGCACAGAUUUUGUUCGGAACUACAACUGCAACUCAAUGAAACCCGGGCCUAUAACGUUUCAGCUAUUUGGUGCAGUCAUUCAGACAGAACAGCCUGUUGAAAGUGGUUCACAUGGUACUGUUAGCACAGGAGAUGACAGCAGUAAGGGCUGCAACGAAACUGAAGGCAUUAACAACCCUCUUGAGGAUUCGACUUACUCAAAAUUGCUUGACAGGCUUGAUGGCCAGUGCCAAAUAGCCUCAACAGUUGAGGCGUGCUAUCUGUGAAAUUAGUUGUGACUGUCAUGCACAUAAGUAGCUGUACAGAACUUUAUUGGGGAAGAAAAAAGAUGCAGCUUCUCAUGGCAUGAAGUUCAAUGGAUAAAAAAAAACGGGAAUUUGUGACUCUCCCAUCUGAAGUACUUCUCCACGCAGACAGGACCAUCUUUUGACCUUGCAAUAUGCUGGUUUUUUUAUUGUUUGUCUUAUUGAAACCUGGAACAAUGAAACUAAGUUUGUAAUAUUUGUUAAAGACGUAUGCGAUGUUAAUUUUUGACAUUUUUAAUAUUUCCUAGAGUACAAUGGUUGGUUAGUAACUCAA